AAAAAUUUUAAAAUGUUGAAAUUUUUGAAAUUAAUAAAACCAAGUUAAAAAUUUUUAAUAGAAUUGUGAAAACAACAAUCUUUUAACAAAAUAAAUUUUUAAUUAGAAAAUUUUCUUGAAAUUUUCUUAAAAAAAACCGAAAAGGAUUUACGAACGUGCUUAAAUAAAAGUGAAUUCAGAAAAGAAAAGAAGAGCACAAAACACAAAAGUGUUGUUACUUUUAAUUUUCUUUCAUUAUUUUUUUUUCUCAAUUUUAUUGAAUUAAGAAUUUUAAACUUUUGAAUUAAAAAUUUAUAAUAUUUUUUUGUCUCAUAUAAAAAGUAAAAGUGGAAAAACAAAGAAGUUUAAUAAUUUUGUACAAAAAAAAAAAUUAAUUUUUCCAAUUACAUUUUUUGUUUUUCAUUUAAAGAAAAUUUUAUAUUUGUUUUAAUUUAAUUUUAAUUGUGAAAAUUUGAGAAUUUCUUUCAAUUGAAUUACUAAAACGAAUUCCGUGUACGAGAUACGAGUAAGGAAAUUAAGGAUCUUUAAAUAUUAAAGAAGGCUGUUCUCUUCUUUAUUAUACUGCUCCAAAAAUUUCAACAUUUAAAAUUGAUUUAUUUAAGAAAAUUUAAUAAAUACUUGAAAAACUGUUGCUGAUGUCAGUGUUACUGAAUUAAUUGAGUAUCAAUAUCAAGCAUUUGUCAUUACAUUGUACAUAUUAUAUAAAAUCUCGAACAACAUAUAUGUAUAUGUAUUUAGAAUGUAUUACAAUUCACAAUAAAAAGUUAACUAGACAAUUAAAUGAUUAAAAUUGUUUUAAUUCAGGAUUUCUGUGAAUUAUCAAUUAAAAAAAUUAAAUUUGAAAAAGUUACAACGUAGAUAAUGUAUUUUGUGUCGAUGUGGCUUUUAAAGGAUAUUUGAAUAUUAAAUUAUAAUAAAGUAGAAUAUAUAUUAUAUAUCGUAUAUUGUACAUACUCGUACAUGUACUUACAUACGAUUUCUUUUUAAGCAACAGCAAGAAGAAGGCAAAAAAUAAAAACAGGAUAAUCUGAUACUUUAACCAAUUUAAUAAAGAAAUGAAAUAGGAGAAUUUAUUACUAUAUAUGUAUGUAUGUAUGAAUUUUUAUUGAGAUUCACAUACCUUUAGAUC
Condylostylus longicornis is the source of this 1129-nucleotide long non-coding RNA. RefSeq lists it as uncharacterized. The transcript has 5 exons. Lineage: Eukaryota; Metazoa; Arthropoda; Insecta; Diptera; Dolichopodidae. The record is from RefSeq and is a predicted model, not a curated record.